GCUCUGGUGGCCCAGUGGUAACACUCCCGCCUGCAGUGUGGGCAACCUGGGUUCGAAUUCCGUCAUCAGCG
Molecule: non-coding RNA, 71 nt
Organism: Gymnothorax javanicus (giant moray)
Lineage: Eukaryota; Metazoa; Chordata; Actinopteri; Anguilliformes; Muraenidae
Source: the annotation of a GenBank genome assembly